UCUGAAGGGACUUCUUCUACCUGAUGAUUAAUCCUAUCUAUCUACUUCCACAGGGAGGCUGUUUGAUCACAUUUGCUGUCUACAUCUGGGCCUUAUACAAUAUUGACAAAAAGUACAAAUGAAACAUAUGUAUUAUUAAAGUAAAACCACACUGUCCCAGAAGGACAGGUAUGUAAUACUCACUGAAAAAUAUUUUCUUCAGAAAUGGUGUUAGAAAUAUUUAAGGAAGUGAUGCAUUCAUACAUUCAUACAUUGAAAUCAUCAGCCAAAUUAAUUUCUCUACUUUUUUUUUUUUUUUUUUUCUUUUGUAAACAGAUAAAUCUUAAUAGGAAAGAAGGUUUACCAGAGUAAAACUAUUAUACGGCAGAUUGGGAAUUUGCUGAUUUCGUUAUAAUUUUAAAUGCUAUGACUUCUUUCACACUUUACAACAAUGAGCAACUAUCAAGUGAAUACUCUAAAAGAUAAAGCAUGUAGAAAGACACAAGCAUUUUUUUGAUAUCACAUCUCUGAAACCAAAGGAACUGCUGCCCUUGCCCCCUGAUGUAAAUAAGGAAUUCUUAAACUGGCUAAAGUUCAUUCUUGUUUUUCUAGUAUACUAAAUGCUAGAAAAGGAACACAAAUAUUUUCUUUUUAUCAUUUAGUUAUGUAUUUCCUCCAUGUUCCUUUAUUUCUUUCAUAGUUCAUUUUAUUCUUUUUCCCCUGUUCCCUCAAGUGUCUCAUUCUGAAGGCAAAUUCAAGUUUCUUUUAGCACUCUUUAAACCCUUCCCAUUACCAUAUUUUUAUGCUUUAAAAAAUUAUAUUAUGCAUUUUUCAUUAAUCUUUUGCUCUCAUAGAGUCUUUUUUUUCCCCCAUAAGUGACAUCAUGGCUAUUAAGCCAGAGCAACAUAAUUGUUAACUGGGAUUUAACCCUUCCAUUGAGUAAAAUAAAACGCAGUAAGGUAACAAUUCUUAUUUUUCUACUUUGUUUUAAAUCAGCUUUGGUAUUAGUUUUAAGAGCAAGCUUUCUGCUUUAAGGGAUUUGAUGAUCACUAACUGACAAAUGUUAAUAAGUUUGAGAUUUACAGAGCUUCUGGAGACUACUAUGAGAAUCUGAAAGCUGAAUCUGAGAUGAUGUUCACCUACAGCUCUGGCAUUGUGGCAUUGCAGCAUCGCCACUAAAACAUAAAGAAAUGUAAAAAAAAAAGAACCAAAAAUUAGUUUAAUAAAGUCAAUCUGCCAGGACAGCAUCCAGUGUAGUCUCCUCAUCACUGCUCUCAGGGAGGAGGAAUGUUAGUCAUCAGACACGGUAAGGGAACAGACCAAAAAUAAAAGAAGGUGUCUGUGGUUGAACAAAAAGUCUGUGAGGAAAUUAUGAGAAUUGAGCAGAGCCAAGCCAGCAUUAUAUAAAAAAGUCAGAAAAAGUUGCCCUUUAAGUAUGGAAUUUUUCAUCCACUAUCUGGUGUUUGCACAGAAUAGACAGUAAGUAGUUCCCAGCAGCUCUUAGGCUUUAGUAAAACAUUAAAGUGAGAUUUAAAUCAGUGAUGCUAACUUUGUACAGUACUGUCUUAGCAAACUCAUUACAGAUUCCCUUAUUCUGCCCUUUCCCUUCAUCUCAGCUGGUAAGAAACACUGGUGCUGUUAUUUCUCAAGGGCUGACAAAGGUCCAUUAUUAUGUAUGAGAAGGAGAAGUGAAUGCCAUGAAACCUGGACACAAACUAUUUCUUUCCAUCUUUGCAAAUUUCUUUAUCCUACAUUUUUAAUUUUCACCGUUAGCAAAAAGAUACCUUGUGCAUUCACAAUUUUGUCUCCAGGGUGAACUUUCCAGCUGUCCUCAGCAUAGAUUGCUAACCUAUCCAUUAGCCUUUGAUCAUAAACCUGACCAGUUUGCCUUGAGACAUCUUUCUGGAUUUGAUAGCCACAGUUUCAAUUUCUGACAAACAGCUGGAGGAGGAAGAAGCUGAACUGACUGAACAGCAAAUAAAGAUCUUUUUUUAUAAGACUAUCCUAUGCUAUACAGACUAUUUAGUAUGUGGGCAGCAGACUUGCAAAUUUGUCUGUCAGCAUUGCUUUUGAAUAUUUUUUCAGACAGAUAACACUAGUGACACCUUAAUGUCUUUAUCAGUCUUGGCUCAGUAAGGGGAAAGUCGAACUGUAACAUCAUGUUCUCCUGCUUAUUUUUCUGCCAGGAUCAAACUGAAACAGGAGACAUCCCUUGGCUUUAAAAAUAUACUAGAAUUUUUACUAAAAUUACUUGAUAUUGUCAUUGAGUUUUCUCUGACCAUAGCUGAAAUAUUUGAAUUCCAGAAGAAUCAUGUGUAAUUUACACUGAAGCAGAAGAAGAAAUUUCUGACAUCUGAGAAUGACUGAGAAGCUUCAGGCAGAAAUCAAACUGUUAUUAGCUUUUUAAGUACUUGUUGCCACAUUGACUUGUAUGUGAUCUUUGUCACAGUCCCAUAUACAAGACAUGUUUCCUUUUGAAAGACUGGUGCCAGAGAGCUUCAGUGUUUUCAUGUCUUCAAUGAUGACAGCACUCAGUUCUGAGGUCAUGCCUGGGCAGAAAUUGCCUACUGGGAGUUGUUUCUGAGUUGGAACAUUUCACUUAAGAAUAGUAGAAAUGACUGACAAUAGCAAAAAACAAAAAGAAAAAGCCAAACAACCCUAGCAGUACUAAUGGACCCACUGCUUCCAAAAAACCUGUUGAGGAACCAGAUGGGAAUUGUCUGUGGGUAAACUCUGUGUUUCUGAGUCAAUAAGCGAAUGAAGUGUUAAAUAAAGAAAACAAAUCCAAAAAAGUUUCCCUUUCCCUUUCCCUUUCCCUUUCCCUUUCCCUUUCCCUUUCCCUUUCCCUUUCCCUUUCCCUUUCCCUUUCCCUUUCCCUUUCCCUUUCAUCACAUCUUUUUUGCCAAGCAUGAGAAAAAUGCAGAUCUUCUUGGUCAGGCACAGUAAAAUUAGGGAUGAAUGAAGGCAAUAUUCUUGCAAAUUGAAUUUCCCCAAGUGUUACGAAGGCCCUUUGCAGCUGGGUGGGUGACAGCCAGAUGUUAUAUAUUCCCAUUUUUUACCUCAGCAUGAGUUUUACCAGCACAUAGUCUGAAUAGGAUUCUCUUCAGUACCUUGCUGCCACUUUUAAUGACAAGGCUACUUUUUAACAUUGCCUUCUAAACUUCUGGCUGCACUCUCAGUUAUUUCCUUCCUCCUUGAACUGCCUCACCCCAAACUGACAGUUUAAUAGACAUAUUGUACCGUGUGGCCUAUGAUAAAGAAUUAUAGCAGUAGAAAGUGAUGGUGAAUAAACUAGUGCUAAAAGAUAUGGAAGGUUCAGCUGGGAUUUUGUGUAGAAAGAUAAUCACACUAACUUGGCUGAAGAUGUGAUUGAAAUGUAAAGGGUUGUUUUUCUGCUACUAGAGACAGAGGAAGUAGCAUGGAGCUUCCUAAAAGAUGGACCAAAAAUCCCCAUGGAGGCAAAUAGAGAGAAUUGCCAAGGUGACAAGGUAGGGGGGAGCUCAGAUACUCAGAUGCUCUGUGAACAGACUAUUAAAGCAGGGAUGAGCAGAAAAUAUAAUUGUGCCCUGCAGAGAACUGAGUGGGUGAAGUUGUUUGCCAUUGCCAAGAAGAGACCAAAACAUGAGAGUUUGGGUAUAUGAUCAUCUCCUGAAAACCCAGAAGAAUAACAUUUUGCCAGCGCACCUCCUAAAAGCAUUACAAAUGGGAGAAAUAGCUAUCGCUCAUUUCAAGACUUGGAGAAAAUACAAAGUAUGCCAGAAUUAUAAUACAAUCAACGUUGCCAGGAAUUUGAAUUUAAUGUUGUCUGGUUUAAAUUCCUAACUUUCAAAGAGAGUAGGUAUUGUUUAAAUAUGUUUUAAUACGAAUUUUAUCAUCAAAUUCCAUCAUUAUUUUAAAAACUAGGAAAAUAACUAAUUAUGGUGGAGAACAGGGACAGAUUUUAGACCUUAUUUCAUAAAUUCUGUCCCCAUUCAACAAUUUUGUGCCAUAUAGAGAUGGUGGUGGGGACAUAAAAGAAAAGAGAGGCAGUGCUAAUCUGAACUUGGGUAAAUUGAAGAAGACCGAACCCUUCAGGAAAAAGCAUGAAAGCUGUCUUGAUUUCAAGUUGACUGCCUCUGUGAGGUGGAGGAAGAAGAAGGCAGACAAAUUCAUGAGGAAAAAGAAAUGACAGAAACUGUCAGAUGUGACUAGUAAGCAAGAAGAUCUCCUAUCCUACAUUGUUUAGUAAAAAAUAUACACACAUGCUCCAAAUAAACAAAAAAAAAAUCAGCAUUUACCUACCCUCUUUGAAAGACCAUGUGCCAUAAAAGAACUGAGGGACGAGUUGUAUUCUUCAUUUUUGUUCUGAGUUACUCUGAAUUCCUUGGGAUCAGACUGCUCUGCAUGUUAUUGAAAGCGGGCUCUGGGGGGGCCAUUUCUGAACAGAGGUGCUGUUUACUGUGAUCCUGUUGGUGAAAGGAUGCAUUAUGUAAGAUAUAUUUGCAUGGUGUCCGUAUUUUUUUGCACUUGAUGUCUGUUUAUUCUGUUCAUGGACUGACUCAUCUCCUGGGGAUUCCUUCUUUCUAGAAAAUGAACUAAUAAAAUUCACAAGUACA
This is a long non-coding RNA of Taeniopygia guttata (zebra finch), 4574 nucleotides long. RefSeq lists it as uncharacterized. The record is from RefSeq and is a predicted model, not a curated record. Lineage: Eukaryota; Metazoa; Chordata; Aves; Passeriformes; Estrildidae.